Long non-coding RNA from Diabrotica virgifera virgifera (western corn rootworm), 224 nucleotides. RefSeq lists it as uncharacterized. The record is from RefSeq and is a predicted model, not a curated record. The transcript has 2 exons. Lineage: Eukaryota; Metazoa; Arthropoda; Insecta; Coleoptera; Chrysomelidae.
GAUAUAAUAUAUAUUACAGUAUAGCUCCCCGUGCAUGACAAGCAUAAGGAGGUACUUAACCUAUAGCCUAGGGCCUAGGCUAGAAUAUUAUAAAAAAAUCACUUAGAUGCAACAACAUGUUUAGGAAAUUCGAGACAUCAAAAAUGCCCAAUUUUUAAGGUGGUGCGUAAUCGGCUGUAUAUACAGGGUGUAACAAAAAUACAGGUCAUAAAUUAAAUCACAUA